CAAAUGUACAAAAUCACAGCAGAUCUACACCAAGGCACAUUGUAAUGAAAAUGACUAGCAUACCGAAUAAAGAGAGAAUUUUAAAAGCCACAAGAGAAAGGAAUCAGAUUAUAUAUAUGGGGAAACCAAUUAGGAUAUAUGCAGAUAUUUCAACCCAGACACUGAAAGCUAGAAGAUCCUGGAACAAUAUAUACCAAGCUCUGAAAGAAAAUGGAUGCCAACCAAGAAUAUUAUAUCCAGCAAAAUUAAGCUUUAGAUUUGAUGAUGAAAUAAAAAUCUUCCAUGAUAAACAAAAGUUUAAAAAAUUUUAAAGCUAGAAAGCCUGCAUUACAGAACAUCUUCGGCAAAAUAUUCCAUGAGGAGGAAAUGAAAAACAACAAUGAAAAUCAGCAAAGUGAAGUAUUACAUUAAACUUUUCUUAAUGCCAGAGUCUUCCCUCCUCCUGUUAUGUUAGUAAGCUUCUAACAGUUUUAGCUCAGUAUCACCUUGUGAACUCUUUUUUCCCCCCAUAGGAGACAAAAAUUUCUUAUUUCUGUAGUAGCACUUUUUGUUUGUUUUGUUUUUGUACCAGGGAUUGAAUUUAGGGGCAUGUAACCACUGAGCCAUAUCCCU
RNAcentral lists this long non-coding RNA (612 nucleotides) under Marmota monax (woodchuck). Lineage: Eukaryota; Metazoa; Chordata; Mammalia; Rodentia; Sciuridae. The record is from RNAcentral.